Molecule: long non-coding RNA, 556 nt
Organism: Astyanax mexicanus (Mexican tetra)
Lineage: Eukaryota; Metazoa; Chordata; Actinopteri; Characiformes; Acestrorhamphidae
Exons: 2
Source: RefSeq, a predicted model, not a curated record
CAAUCCAAUCAGAAAAGGGCCUAAUGGAUACAGGUUUCCUUCCUGUCAAGCCAAAUCCCAGCCAAUUCCAUUUGUUUAAACAGAGGGUCUCAAUAUUCAAACUUUGUGAGGGUUGCAUUUUUCACAAAAACAAUAUUGCCUGUCACAGCAGCAGCUCAUAAAAUAAUAAAAGAAAGAAUACUUUAUAAUAUUCACAAUUCACUUCACUUUAUGGAUGCAAACAAUAAACAAGCACUUUUAGUUAGUUUGUAAAUAGACAAUAAAUAAAUAGACAUAGGCUUAUUUUGGCAGUUCUCAGAGCAUAUUAAUCAAAAUGCUUUAUAUAACUGUGGUGAUGUGUACGGCUUAAAGCAUACACACAAAUCCCAUAGUGUAUUAAGGAACCAAAGUAGGAUCAGAUGUCUAUAACAAUCCCCAAAAUAAAUCUAUAUCAGUCUUUUAGAGAAUGCACGAACAUGUGCAUCAAAAGACAUGGCGUUUUAUGAAGUACAAACAAAGCAAAUCACACUGUGUCAACCUGCAUACAUGGUAGCAAGUUUGAUGUACUAGGUAUAUU